RNAcentral lists this signal recognition particle RNA (266 nucleotides) under Lawsonibacter sp. RNAcentral's name for it is "signal recognition particle sRNA large type". It matches the Rfam family "Bacterial large signal recognition particle RNA". From Rfam's summary of the family: The signal recognition particle (SRP) is a universally conserved ribonucleoprotein involved in the co-translational targeting of proteins to membranes. Archaeal SRP consists of a 7S RNA and homologues of the eukaryotic SRP19 and SRP54 proteins. Lineage: Bacteria; Bacillati; Bacillota; Clostridia; Eubacteriales; Oscillospiraceae. The record is from RNAcentral.
CCGCACUAGUCGGGGAGAUAGCGGUGCCCUGUACCUGCAACCCGCUUCAGCAGGGAUGAAUCCCGGCCCCCGGACGUGUGUUGUGCCGACUGACCUGAAUAAGCAGCGAUGAAGAGACGGUCCCGCGCAACGCGGAGACCGUGAACCGUGUCAGGCGGGGAACCGAGCAGCACUAAGCGGACCGCCGCGUGUGCCGCGGGGUUGCUGUUUCUGAGCCGGCUGUUCUGGUAACGGGCAUAAUAUGCGCUUCAAAGGCCGGUGUGCGG